UACGGAGGGAGCUAGCGUUGUUCGGAAAUACUGGGCGUAAAGCGCACGUAGGCGGAUCGAUCAGUCAGGGGUGAAAUCCCAGAGCUCAACUCUGGAACUGCCUUUGAUACUGUCGAUCUGGAGUAUGGAAGAGGUGAGUGGAAUUCCGAGUGUAGAGGUGAAAUUCGUAGAUAUUCGGAGGAACACCAGUGGCGAAGGCGGCUCACUGGUCCAUUACUGACGCUGAGGUGCGAAAGCGUGGGGAGCAAACAGG
Molecule: ribosomal RNA, 253 nt
Filed under: uncultured bacterium
Lineage: Bacteria
Description: partial 16S ribosomal RNA
Rfam family: Bacterial small subunit ribosomal RNA
Source: RNAcentral